CGUAGGACACAAGCGUUAUCCGGAGUUACUGGGCGUAAAGGGCGUGUAGGCGGACGUGUAAGUCUAUUCUGAAAGCUCAUGGCUAAACUGGGAGAGGCGAAUGGAGACUGCAUAUCUAGAGUGAGGAAGAGGAAAGUGGAAUUCCGCGUGUAGUGGUGAAAUGCGUAGAGAUGCGGAGGAACACCAGUGGCGAAAGCGACUUUCUGGUCCUUAACUGACGCUGAGGCGCGAAAGCAUGGGGAGCGAACGGGAUUAGAAACCCCGGUAGUCCAUGCCAUAAACGAUGUUCACUAAACGUUCGUUUCCCGCGAGGGAAGCGGGUGUUGAAGCUAACGCAGUAAGUGAACCGCCUGGGGAGUACGGUCGCAAGGCUA
RNAcentral lists this ribosomal RNA (374 nucleotides) under uncultured organism. RNAcentral's name for it is "bacterial SSU rRNA". It matches the Rfam family "Bacterial small subunit ribosomal RNA", at positions 526 to 896 of the family's 1533-position model. The record is from RNAcentral.